This 827-nucleotide ribosomal RNA is filed under the name Enterobacter cloacae. RNAcentral describes it as "partial 23S ribosomal RNA". It matches the Rfam family "Bacterial large subunit ribosomal RNA", at positions 1085 to 1896 of the family's 2925-position model. The record is from RNAcentral. Lineage: Bacteria; Pseudomonadati; Pseudomonadota; Gammaproteobacteria; Enterobacterales; Enterobacteriaceae.
CCAGACAGCCAGGAUGUUGGCUUAGAAGCAGCCAUCAUUUAAAGAAAGCGUAAUAGCUCACUGGUCGAGUCGGCCUGCGCGGAAGAUGUAACGGGGCUAAACCAUGCACCGAAGCUGCGGCAGCGACACUCUGUGUUGUUGGGUAGGGGAGCGUUCUGUAAGCCGUUGAAGGUGGCCUGUGAGGGUUGCUGGAGGUAUCAGAAGUGCGAAUGCUGACAUAAGUAACGAUAAAGCGGGUGAAAAGCCCGCUCGCCGGAAGACCAAGGGUUCCUGUCCAACGUUAAUCGGGGCAGGGUGAGUCGACCCCUAAGGCGAGGCCGAAAGGCGUAGUCGAUGGGAAACAGGUUAAUAUUCCUGUACUUGGUGUUACUGCGAAGGGGGGACGGAGAAGGCUAUGUUAGCCGGGCGACGGUUGUCCCGGUUUAAGCAUGUAGGCGGAGGUUCCAGGUAAAUCCGGUACCUUUUAACGCUGAGGUGUGAUGACGAGGCACUACGGUGCUGAAGUAACAAAUGCCCUGCUUCCAGGAAAAGCCUCUAAGCAUCAGGUAACAUCAAAUCGUACCCCAAACCGACACAGGUGGUCAGGUAGAGAAUACCAAGGCGCUUGAGAGAACUCGGGUGAAGGAACUAGGCAAAAUGGUGCCGUAACUUCGGGAGAAGGCACGCUGAUAUGUAGGUGAAGCCCCUGCGGGUGGAGCUGAAAUCAGUCGAAGAUACCAGCUGGCUGCAACUGUUUAUUAAAAACACAGCACUGUGCAAACACGAAAGUGGACGUAUACGGUGUGACGCCUGCCCGGUGCCGGAAGGUUAAUUGAUGGGGUUAGCGG